UUUACGCUGGUAACGAUGCAUCAGGGUCACCACUAGGAAUCUUCUGUGGUACAACGGUACCACAACCCAUCAGCGUUCUGGGUAGUAUGGUGCUCAGAUUUAAAACUGACAGGUCUAUUACAGGACGCGGUUUUAACAUUUCCUACACCACACAGGACAAAAAUCGGGGCUGUGGUGGUUACUUGAAUGAUACGCAAGGUGAAAUAACGUCUUUUGAUGUAGAUGGAGACGGUGAAUAUGAGAAUUUUGUAGAUUGUCGAUGGACGAUCGUAGCGGCGGAUGAUGAAGUUGGUCGAUUUACUAUAAUUGACAUAGAUCUACAGAACAACACUGGAUGUACACUUGAUUAUAUUAAGGUAUAUGAUGGAAUGAAUGACAAUGCUCCGUUAAUCGGUCAGUAUUGUGGUGACACAUUACCGCCACCUAUAGUUGCUACGUCAAAAUUUCUGUAUGUUAUAUUCCACACUGACG
This is a long non-coding RNA of Patella vulgata (common limpet), 471 nucleotides long. RefSeq lists it as uncharacterized. The transcript has 3 exons. NCBI's taxonomy places the organism in Eukaryota, Metazoa, Mollusca, Gastropoda, Patellidae. The record is from RefSeq and is a predicted model, not a curated record.